Molecule: long non-coding RNA, 4244 nt
Organism: Oreochromis niloticus (Nile tilapia)
Lineage: Eukaryota; Metazoa; Chordata; Actinopteri; Cichliformes; Cichlidae
Exons: 9
Source: RefSeq, a predicted model, not a curated record
ACCAUCUACAUGUCCUUACUAGCAAAGUCCAACCAGAUGUUUCCUGGGAAAUGUUAAAGUCAAUGCGGUUUCUGUGAUUUGGCUCCCUCACUUGCUGCGUGUCAGUUAGCACUGAGUUAAAGGGCAGAAAGCAGCCCUUCUGACAUCUACUGGGGAAUUACUCAAAGGAUGUUACAUGGCAUGUCUGCACUUCUGUCAUGUAGAUAGCCUUUUUCCACGCACAGUCAAAAAACUACAGAUCUGCUGCCGAGCCUGCUUCUCCAAACCCACAGAGAGCAUUGCAGAUUAUUUCAUAAACCUUCACUUGAGAUGAUGUAGCUGUAUGGGAGGGAAUGUGAUGAUUUACAGACACAGACAAUGAAAAGGAUGUCAUCACCCAAAUGACACGCCAACAUACACGGAUCAAACCACUGACCCUCCAGUUAGGUCACUCAGUAGAUGAUCUGCUCCUGAGCCACAGCCACAUAGAUAGAUGGCCCUGACAGACAUUACUUCAUACACCCAGACCAGCUAAGUUGAAGCGUGUUACACAAGGAGCGACACUGACGUCACGGUGGAGCUGCACUGCAGGCCUGGAAGCCCUAACUAGCAUCCUUGGGUCAAUCAAAGAAGAGGAAAUAUCUUCCUCAUGUCAUAGGCGAGAAAUUUCCCGUGCCCCGUCUCCAAGAGGUGCAACACACGCUCCACACAUGACAGUGUGUUAAGCCACCAUUACAUCAUGUGUCACUGCGCAAUAGGCAUUCAUACACUUUUGCUCCAGUACUGACAAUAAAAUCCUACAAUCCUCCUUUUUCAAUUAUUCUAGCAAAGUUAAACAUGUUAACAUCAUUUUUAAUGAUCUUUUUAUGUGCUGCAAAUUUUCAUCAGCCAAAACCCUAAUGUAUCGGGCCUUUUUGUGCUGCCAAAACGUCUCUGAGUUCUUCGGGUCAUGGACCAGACCCAAGAUCUCUGGGGGUGUCGCAUGGUGUCGAGCACUGGGAUGCUGGCAGUUGAUCCUUUGGAUUUAGUGGACUCUGUUUCGGGGCAUUGUUAUAUUCCCCAGGCAGUCCUGGGAGAAGAAGGGAGAGACUGGGGUAAGUUGCUCCAUGGGGCAAGAUUAGCCAUGCCUGCUAGCUGCCUCCUUCCAAGAGAAAGAUGGUCACUGGCGCCACCUAUGCUUUACCCUUGAUCAGACUUAGAGGAUUCUCUCAUGAGCAACCAGAGUAGAAUCCUCCAGGAGCAGGUAAAGGAUUUGCCAUACAGCUGAACUCUCCAUAGCAUCUCCAUAGUAGCCUGAUAACAACAGUCUACUCAGGUAGUAUCUAAAUGAAUUCUGCCAAAAAUUAGGUCAUGAAAAGUUGUUAUCAAAAUAUCAGAUGAUGGCCACCAUUCCACCCCUUCAUUCCAAAAGUAUUAUUGACAAAAUUACUACAAUUUAUUCUCAUUAUUGACACAAUACUUAUAUUUCACUUUAAAUAUGAUUGUUAUAUAUGCAAUACAAUUUUCUGUUUAACUUUUGUACCACAUUUAUUGAAUCCCACUAAUCAUGCAUUUAACAAUUUUUUGAUUUAUGGGGGUUUCUAGAGUCUAGAGCACCAUGCAGCACAGAAGACCGAGUUCUGAGAGCAAAAGCAGCACAAAAUUAGCUCCCACUGUCAUUGUGAUAUUGUUGGUUAUAUGAUACAACCAAUAUCUUUGUAAAUGGACUGGUAUUUAUGAAGCAUUUUUCACCAUUACUAGGCACUCAAAGCCCAAAGCAAGGUACUUCAUGCUGUUAAUACCUUUUUUAUUGAUCGCUCGCUAAUGGAAGCAGUGGAUGCAUAUUGAAUUUCACAAUCUUACUCAAUUAACUUUUAUUUGUAUACAAACAACCAAAAUGACAGUAGCCUCAAGACCUUUUGACACGCAGGCUGCAGGAUCCAGGGAUCAAAGCUAACAGCCAUCCUUGUAUUUGGGAGAGAAGUAGCUACGUUUAAGACAGUCUGAGGAGCUUGGAAAGAAAAGCGUCUGGACUUCUUUAAGUUGCUUGAAGAUGUUUCACCUCUCAUCCGAGAAGCUUAUUAGGUUCUAAGGUCAGAUGGUGGAGAGUCCCAGAUUUGAUUUUAAAACAGGCCUCCAGUAAAUGCUCUAUAUAAGUGAAGCCAAGUUUUUGGUUGCAACUGUGAAGAUGUAUGUCUUGCCAGUGCAGGGUUCUCAUACUUCUUUUCCAUUUAAUCAUUGCAUGGUGUGCAGCCAGUUCUGUCUUGCUGCCUUUUGAGAACCAGCUUACAUUUCGACAGGUUUGAGCUCUGAACACGUUACGUAGCAUUAUGCUGGAAAAGUUGGGGUAAUUUUAUGGGAAGAAAAUAAAACAGAGACAGUGCAGGGAUUAAGUUUACCUACUUUGAAGAUGCCAAGGAGAGGAAAGUCUGAAGAGUUUAGAACACUUAGUGAUAUAUAAAGCAGCGUUACUGUUUUACUGAAGCGUUUAGCAUUGUGGCCUUCAUCAGGGUCUUCAUAAAAACAUAAUGUAGGCAGCAUUUUGAAAUAGGAGAGGUAAACUAUAAGUUUGGCUGGUUGCUCUACAUUGCUUAGAGCUGCCUUUAGAUCCCCAGAGUUAAAACUAACAGAUCUCAAGCAUGAAGCUUGGGGUGUGUUGGAGUUGCAAAUAACAAAUUUCCUCUGAUUGUGAGUCUCUCUCAGUUUGUGUGUGCUGACUUUGCACUGUAGCCCACCCCUUAAUUCCCACCCCACCCCGUCUUCCACUGCUGUGAAGCUGGAUAAGAAUAUGAUUUCACACAAAGCAUAAACACUUACGUUAAAUAUGUGUCUGUGGUGCCUGUGCGCUGGCUUCUUGACUCUUAGAGUUUUGCUAAAGUCUCUCUAGAGGGGCUCUGACUGGAACACGCCUUUGGGUAGCAUGGGAACAGGCAGGCUUGGUCUGGGAAAGAGAGCAGGCUGUUCAUUUCUGUUGCACAAUCCAAUUAGCUCAGAGUUCCACCGAUAAGAAACCCCACCAGAUCACUACAGAAGCUUUGUGUGAGAAGUCGUGCAUCUAAUAGCUGGCUGGUAAACAAUCAGCAGCAUCUUCAACAGGUUUUGCUUUCACCAGGGAUCUACGACGGCUGGAUAAGAACAGAGAUCAUGCUGACUGCUUACCUGCUGCCAAUCUUCUUCAUCUGCGCAGGAAUCACUGCAGAAGCUGUUCCAUGCAACGAGGACCUGUUUGACAUCAAUGUUGACAACUGCCUGUCGGACUUCAACAAAAGCAUGGAGACAAGUGACUAUCAGAACAUGUGCCCGUGGCCUAUGGUUAAAAGCAACUACAUCAAAUUGAUGACAUGUGUGGAAGACUGGGCUACGAAAACUUGGUGUAGGGGUUAUGGAUUUUUGGUAGAUGAGAUUUACUUGGAGGUCCACCAGACGUACUUUUCGCUCUGUGGAUACAUUCGUGACCCCCCACUCUUCACUCUCAUCAUGUUAAUAGCACCGUGUAUUAUUGUCACACUUUUUCUGCCUCUUCUGUGUGCUCACAUCGCCCCCAGGGGCACAUAAAUACCCAGCAAAGGAAAAUUGGAAUAUUUUUCAGCCAGUGUUCUGACAGUGCUCUGACAGUGCUAACUGUGCUUGCUACCUCUGAUGCAGAGAUUCAGGAAAUCCAUCCUGGAAGAAGACACUUCAAGCUAAUAAACAAUCAUUUUACAUAAAUCAGAAAAUACAUUUUCUAUUCAAUGCAUUAGUAAAAACACCUGACUACUUAAGUUUGGUUGGAUAAGUAUCUUGGGCUGUUCACAAAGAACUUCAUAAUCCAAAAGUCUGCAACGGAGAGGACAACUGUACAACUGAGAGUCUUGGACCUAAAUGUAUUUAUCUAUGCAGACAAAUUGCAGGGGAGCUUAUAAACGGGUGUCGUACAUUGAGCAACAAUGACUGCAAAUCCCCCAAACGUCAUGUUUGGUGGAACAAAGCAAAAAUCUCACUUGUUUUAAAUUUUCCCGUUCCCUUCAGGAUCUCUGUGCACCUCUGCACUAAUUCCAGCGCUCCGGCUAUUUUCCGAUCUCUCUCUCUGGACUCUGACCACUUGUAUGUCCUCCCUUUUGUCAAAACAACAACACUUCCAGCCUUAAAUUUAAUAUUUGGAGAAGAAGAAUGUCAUAGAGAACAACAUCUAGUGACUAGCAGAGAUGGGCAGUAACACGUUACUUGUAAUGCGUUGCUGUAAUCUGAUUACUUUUUUCAAGUAACGAGUAAUGUAAGGGAUUACUAUUGCAAAAACGGUAAUUAGA